RNAcentral lists this long non-coding RNA (8366 nucleotides) under Sus scrofa (pig). Its description in RNAcentral is "lncRNA (ENSSSCG00040058693.1)". Lineage: Eukaryota; Metazoa; Chordata; Mammalia; Artiodactyla; Suidae. The record is from RNAcentral.
GGGCCACUCCUGUGGCAUAUGGAGGUUCCAGGCUAGGGGUCUAAUCGGAGCUGUAGCCACCGUCCUACGCCAGAGCCACAGCAACUCGGGAUGCGAGCCGCGUCUGCGACCCACACCACAGCUCACGGCAACGCCAGAUCCUUAACCCAUUGAGCAAGGCCAGGGAUCGAACCCACAACCUCAUGGUUCCUAGUUGGAUUCGUUAACCACUGAGCCACGACGGAAACUCCAGAAACCCCAAAUCUUAAACCCAAGGUGGGGAAAGGCUGAGGAAGGCAUUGAAUCCAAUGUAUCACAGGCAAAGAGACUUCAAAGUCUCCAUCUGAUGGCUCAAAUAUCCAUGACAGAAUUGGUAUUUCUUCUCAGAUUCAAGGCAUGGCCAAGUCACAGAGGCUCACUUCCAGGGUCCAGUUUUCAUCUUGGAGGCUGUAACCCAGGCAGCCUCUCUGCCCUUUGAUCUGGUUGGAACUGGAGUGUAACAAAUAUGCUUGUAUUAAGCUAUCUCCAGUCUGCCUGAGGGCAUCGGUCUGGAAUGUGAGAAGGGGAGCUUCAAACAGUGAGGUUCCCAAAUCUUCAUUUGCAUUCCAUUUUUUCCUGGCAGGCUGGCUAAGGCUUCUUCUAUGGAAGGCAGUGAUGGGGGUGCCUGUGGACUUCAGCAACACUGAAUGGCCUCCAAAGGCAGGACUAGAGGGCUUUGUCCCUAUCCCCCGGGACCAGGAAUCAGCUGAAGAACAAGAGGAACUACACGCAAGCACCAGGACCCUACAUUAUACUUUUAUUAAGCCACCCACAGGCACCUAUGGAGCACCUAGGAGCUCUAAGCACUGCGCAAGAAAGACCAAAGAGGGCGCCACCGUCUUUGGCCAUCAAAGCAUCCACGUUCCACCAGCCACCUCUGGGGUGAUGAAUCGUUUCAAGGACGCCAUCCAUUCUAUUCCAGGUCUGUCUCCUCCUAGACUUGACAAUGCAAGCCUUCAUUUUCAAAAUCAGAAGGUAUAAAAAAUGUGUUUAGCUGGAAGAUACUCUGUGUGAAAGAAUGUGCAGCUGACAGCAAACAUUUCCAGCAGCACAGCCAAUAUUUUCCUAUUUCCUGGACAAUUUACUAAAAACCUUCCACCCCUGCUUUCAUAGGUUGAAGGCAUCUGCUGUGCCAAAUUGUCUGCUGGUGACAGAGAGAAACCAACACAUUCUUCAUUGCCCAGGGAUAAAAUUGAAAAGGGAGAGAGAAGUGUCCUUGACAAAUAGUAGACUCUAAACUACACCUGUGUUACCCUGUCCCUGAGAGACUUCAAGUGCUGGAUGAUCAGAGAUGGUGAGAAAGCAGCUCACUUAUUUUUCACCAGUUUACACCACGCCAGGCAUAAUCCCAACGUAUCAAGAACCCCCAGGUCCUUGGGUGAUUGCUUCACAAAAACAUGGAAAUGAUGCAACAGAAACAACUGAGUUUUUUUUGUUUGUUUGUUUGUUUUGUUUGUUUUUGUUUUUGUUUUUUGUUUUUUGACUCCUCCAGAUGGAAAAGGUAGUGCUUUAAAUAUCAUGUUCCCUGGACAUCCGUCAUCCAAAGCACAAUGCAACCACUGUAGGGCAGAGAGAGAGGAGAUAUUCUGCGGGCAAAGCACGCAAACCAGAGCCUCAACCCACUGAAGAAAUGGUCUUGUGCUUCUCCUUGGAACAGCGGUGGGGUGGGCCAUGCACGAGAAUGUUGCUGGCCGGCCUUGAAAGAAAGAAACCCUUUCGGAGACCAGCGACCUUAAACAUCGCAUCAGCCUUUGAAGUUAUGCACAAUGACAUCCUUUGGUUCCUGGCCCGGGGCAGAGGUUUAAGCUUUAAGACUCCAUUUACUUACCAAGAGUUGGAGAAAUAUUUUCACUGCGGCACAAGGUAAAAGAGCCAGGUUUUUCAAAAAGCAAGGGAUUGGAUGGUGAGGUCGGGGAAUAUACUCUUUACAGGGGGCCACCCCACAGUGUGAAGGGAAUCCAGAGCUAGAAAGGUACCUUUCUGGGGUUAAUCUUUCUUUUUAGCCUUCUGUACCAUUCAGAUCAGUUUUGUAAAACUCACAUCAAAGUCACAGAAGCAGAGGUGGUUCUGAGGCUCCCACCCUCCCUCUAACCCAUCCUUGGUCCAACCUGCCCAACCCAUGCUUGUCCUUCCUACCAGCAUCUUCACAUCUCUGAACCAGUCUCACCCCCACCCCCGAAAAAAGGGCACCCCCAGCUCCCUGCAGUGCUGCAUCUCCAGUAGGAAUCCAAGGAGUGAUAACAUCUCCCACAGCAGGGUGAGGGGGAGCUUCGUGCCCACUGCUGCCUCGAUACAACUCUCUAGAGCAUCCAAAUUAGCGUUUAUUCCUUGUGGUGGGUUCCACCUAUCUGGUUGACCACUCCAUCCUGGCACAUUGUGCACCCAGCCACCACAGUGUUGAGUACAUAGCAAGUACUCAACGCAUGCUUGUAGAACAAAGGCCCCAUUCCUCCAACCCCAACAUUUUCUCUUUCCAUUCUGCCAGAUAUCUACUAUCUUAGGGUACAGUCAUCGGGGCCUCAUCCAAUGCUCUUGGACAUCGAACCUUCUCUUGCCGGAGCUCUUUGGCUUUCAUCUCAUGCCAUGGCAGACGUCCUUUUGCAAGAUCCCAAAAAGCUGGGACUCCAGAGAUUCUGGGAACCUCAAAAUAGUCACCUAAGAAAAGGUAGCAAUGUUACAUGCCAUCGUGUUCAUGGUUUGAGAAGCUACGUCAAACUAAUUACUGAACUGGAGCCAAAGACUUGAAGGAAAACAGAAGGAAAUCUGUUGCCUUGAGAUGUAUCUUUCUUCUUCAAAGAACUCAGAGCUGCUCCCAUCGUACAUGAUGUUAGGAUAGGCCUUGGGCCAAUCAUUGUGAAGAGCAUCUGAAAAAUCACUCAGAAUUGUGUGCUCCGUUGUUUUGCAAAGGAUAUAACUAUUUGUUUGCUUAAGUGAGGCGGUAGGGAUUGCUGGAAAGGUUCUGUGAAGAUAUUAGCUAACCUCAAGUCCCCACCAGCAAACACAAGCAUGCCGUUCACACACGGGUCACAACCACCCACAUCAUCUCGGACUCACAGAUAUGAAUAAUGUAUAAACGAGCUGAACCCCAUUCCAACGAGCAAGAGACUUUAGCUCACAAUGGAAAUGUAAACACAACCUUUAGCUGAAGAUAGUCUUUGACUCCAAAGGGGUCACAUACACAAUACAAACAAGGUCUUUACUGGGGCCUGCACGGGUCUCCAGGGGGGCUGUGCUGAAGUUUCCUAAUGGAAGGGGUGGUAAGUCGCCGUGAAGGGGCUGAUUCGAACACCCCAUUUGCCACGUGUUCCCAAUGAGAACGCGACACGAGAAUCUCUUCAUCUGAAAAUCUUCAAGAGAUCCUGCCUGGUCCAUGAGGCUCCAUGUCCCCUUCAGAGCAAAGAGGCCACACGGCUCCCAUAUUUACACAAAGGGGACAGUUUGGUCAGGAAGAACUCUGUAAAGUAGUGCUUGCGGAUUAAUCGAGUUAAAAGAUAAGCCCAGUUAAAGGAGCCUCUUGCUUAAACAAUACGGCAGGUGGAAAAAUGAGUGAAAUAAAGACAGCGAAAUUCAGGAGGUACCAUCGCCAAAUACACAACUUGUCAUUUCUAAUAAAGCAAGAAGGUGGAACUUGAGUCACUGAGCAAAAUGCUCAAUACCCAGUUAGGAUCCACGGCCCCUGAAGAGCUACCUAAUUACCCCGGAGAUGAAGUCCCCGGGUGGCAGGUCCCCAGGGUCCCUUCUAGGCGCCUCCAUCAUUCAUCGGGAAGUCAGGGAAAAUGAGUUAUCUAGGUGAGGUUUGAUGCUCCCAACUUUUCAAGGGUUGCUCAGAUCUCAGAAAUAAAGACUGGCAGAUCAAGGGGGAAGCACAGACAUGACCGUUUGGUUCAUUAGAAUCGUGGAGCUAAAACCUCUUUUUGCAGUUGUAAGGAGCCAGCGUCAGUCAGUUUUCCAAACGGGAAAAGGAAAGUACCCUAGCCUUUACUGUAACAAACCAAGAGCCAUACGAAACUCAAGCAUGAUAAAAGGCAGAACGAAAAAAUAAAACUUGAGUAAUUCCUCUUAAGUGACUUUCUUUCAAUCCAUUUUACUUUAUUUUAGCAAGAAGAAAGUAUGAGAUUUGAGGCUCUGUCCAUAUGUUUGGUUGCUGUUCACUUUGAUUUUUUGUUUACGUUUGUCUCAAUUUUUUCUUUAAUGGUAACAGCUGCAUAUGGACAAAAUUCAAAAGGUUCAAAAGGAUAAAAGCAAAUAAUCUUAUCACCUGUCACCAGCCACCUAAUUCCUUCCACUCCUGGGCAGUAAACACGCGAACAAAAAACAGUAACUACUACCCAAAUACUACCCCCAAAAAUAGGGCUUGGGAGGAAAAAAACAAACGAAAUAAGGAAAACCCCCUAAAACAAGGAUCUAAAUCUGGUGUAUCCUUUCAGAUCUAAUCUAUGCAAACAUUAGCAUUUCUUUCCUUUGUGAAAACACAAAAGAAAUGUUUUUUUGUAAACUGUUCUGUACUUUGCAUUUUUUUCCCUUAACAUAUCUUCAAGGUCAUUCCCCAUCAGUAAAUACAGAGAUGUCUUAUUUGGUACAAGUGCAAGCACAUCUGCAGGAUAAACUUCAAGAAAUGGAAGAGCUUGCCCCAAAUAUAUGCAUUUUCUUUUUCAAUUAAUAUUACCAAGAUGUCUUUCCCAGAGACGGUAUCAAAUUAUACGCCCCUCAGCAAUGUCAGCCUCUGCCUCUCCCCACCUUGGCAAAUACACAGCAGUAUUAACAUUUGAACAUCACCAGGCUGACAGGUAAACACGAUCUCUUAAAGUGUUAGUUUCUCCUUCUCUUAUUAGCAGAGAGGGUAAGUAACAUUCUCAUAUAUUUAAGAGCCAUUUAGUUCCUUUUCUGUUAAUGACCUGUUCACAUUUUAGGUGAUUUUCCUACCACUUUCUCUUUCUUAAAAGGCAGUCUCUCUAGCAAAUGCUAUCCAAACUGGUCUUUUGUAUAGUUCUUUGCAGUUGUUUAAGCCCAUUCAUAUACAAUCUAAUGCAAUAACUGCAAUGAGCUGGGGAGCAGGCAUAAAAAUACGAUUCCCAUUUUACCGCCAAGGACACCGAGGGAUUCCCAUUUUACCGCCAAGGACACCGAGGUUUUGAUUCUUAGUAGGUUUGACCAAACAGCUCACAGAAGUUUGUAAACAGGACUAGCAUUUGCGUAGCUUAUCUUCCAGUCUAAUGAUCUGCUCGUGUCUGCUUACUAUGUUCAAAUGCCUCUUAGGAGUUCCCAUUACGGCUCAAUGGGUUAAGAACCUGACUGGUAUCCAUGAGGAGGCGACUUUAGUCCCUGGCCUCGCUCAGUGGGUUAAGGAUCUGGCAUUACCAGAAGCUAUGGCACAGACUGCAGAUGCAGUUCGGAUCUGGCAUUGCUGUGGCUGUGUAUAGGCCAGUCGCUGCAGCUCCAAUUCGACCCCUAGCCUCGGAACUUCCAUAUGCUGCAGGUGUGGCCCUAAAAAGAGGAAACUUGCAGACAUAAAAAUUUGCAAUGGGCAUAUGAUUAAAACCUGCAAGGAAGGAUCUCCACAGUAUACAAAGGGUAGGGGGCAAAGAACAAGUGAGUUAGUACAGGAGAGACGCAGUAUGAAGUCAGAGGACAGGGGGCCCUGACUUGGUGCGUGAACCAGGAAAGGAACAGUGCCAGACUCAAAGUUGAUAGGCAGCCGGUGGGUGGAGGUGAGCAGAGCCCCCUCUGCUGGGCUGGUAUUGAGAGGCAGGCUCUGCUGUGUGGAAAGGACAGGGCUGAGCACUGGCCUCUUAGCACCUGGGGUGCUCAGCCAGGUAAACAAGACAGGAGAUCUGGGCUCAGCAACAGAGUAGGGACCAGCUUGGGGUACCAAUAAAAAGAACUAAGACUCAAGGUCAAGGUUGGACAAGGCAACAAGGAUUCUGGAAUGGAGUUGCUUAAACACAGUCUCAGGUCAAGAUCUGACCUAGGACUUGGGCAAGCCCCUCCCUCAGGGAAGCUGAGCAGCUUUAGCUGUGCAGUGAGUGAGAUGCGUGGGUCUGGAGCCCAGGGGUCCAGUGCAGCCAGCCACAUCAGGGGCAAGGGAGGAAGCAGGCCAGCAGGGACCAUCACCGUGGCUCCAGCAGGCCCUGGGAAGCCGGCUGGAGAGUGGGGGAGACAAGGGGGCAAGGUGGGGGCAACUUGAUUUUUACUACCUGGCUGAGAUGCUCCAAUGCAUCCCCUGCAACCUACUCACAUAUGAAUAAGCUUAGAUCUCCCUUAACGUGAUACUUCUUCCUAUUUAUCACUAAAGAGUCUCGCUCACUCACAUUCUCAGCGCUGGAGGAAGGCACAGUGCUACCAAAAGGUAAUAAGAAAAGUGCAAUUACACAGAGUUCCAUCUGUGGCACAACGGGAUUGGUGGCAACGCUGCAGCGCCAGGACACAGGUUUGAUCCCCAGCCUGGUACAGUGGGUUUAAAAAAUCUGGUGCUGCCGCAGCUUCGGUGUAGGUAGCAGCUGUGGCUCAGAUCUGAUCCCUAGCCUGGGAACUCCAUAUGCCGCGGGGUAGCCAAAAAAGAAAAAAAGAAGGGCAAAUACAGUCCGAGGACUCAUUUAUUUAUACGAUGUAUCAGAACUUAUGCACACAAAUCUCAUCUGAGAUUUGUAAGUUCCCCUCAACACUGAGUAGAGGGUGUCAGGAAUGGGGAAAGCUAUUAUUCUCUUUAGCUUUGGGACCUGGCACCAGCAGCUGAGGGGACAGAGGUGGUUUUAUUGGCUCAAAUAUAUCUUUUGGGGAGCAGGGGGUCUCCCAAAACAGUGAGGGGCUGCCACGCUAGUUUCCCUUGCAAAAGCCAGUGAGGAACACUGACAAGGGGUGAGGCCAAGUUGUGGCCACAUGCAGCCCUUGAGUCACCAGGGAAGGGAUAAGGAGAAAAAACAAGGACCACUUCUCACACAGCCUCCAGACGGGGACCGUGCCCUGCCCCCGGUUACCAACACCAUUCAGUCUUGGAGCAGAAGCGUGUGGCAGCAAAACUCUAGCCCGGGACUGCCACGGCUUUAUGGACACUAGGAAUCUUGUCACACGAUUUGAGAAGUGACCCCGGUUUACAAGUUUGAGUCGCAUGACUUUAUAAUGACCUACCAUCAUGGACCCCAAAUGAUAGGACCCCGCAAAUAUUACCUGCUCUCAAGUGAUUUACCUUUUGUUACCCCUGAGGAUAGUCAAGAGAAAAAUAAAACCAGCUACAUGGCUUACUGAAGGUGUCCUGCAAGUGGACGAUUGAGAUAAAGCACUUCAUACACACCGAUUCGGCUCUGAAUGCCAGAACUGACUUUCUCAAGAUCACACAGCCAUUCGCUAGACACGCUGACGUUGGAAGCCAGGUCUCCCCUUCAUAACUUUGCCCUAUGGUCUCCAGGUACAGCCUCAGUUCAGAAAUGUCCAGAUUAUUUAAAACAUGGAAUGGAAUUCCUGCUGUGGCACAAGAGGAUCGGCAACCAAUUGGAAAAGACACCGGCAGUAAAUGACAGGUGCCUUCUGGCUGAAAUCAGCCCUGCGUGUAACCUCCAGGGUGCAGGAGGAACAGCCUCAACUGAUGCAGGGAUGUUACCCUCCACCAGAUGUGAAACAGAAAGCCAGACCAAAAAUGUUCUGCGCCCCGCCCCCCGCGCCCCCAUUUGGUAGAACAGUUCUGCCCUCACAUAUGCCUUCAAAGGGUUACUAUGAGAGCAUUCCACAAAGCUUGACUCUGUCAAAACUACGCUCAAUUAAACUAAUAGAGGAUGUUCCAUUUCAAAACAUGCCCCUGUUCCAUCCUGAUGAAGAAGUAUCAAAAGAGAAUGAAUUUGGACCACUUUUAAAUGAUGACAUCUGCAUGACUGCAGCGAUUCACCUAUCAAACUAAUUUAGGCUUAGAGCCCACAUCAACACGGCUGUCAGAGAGUUGAUUUCUAUUCAUUUUAAAACUUCUGGGCUCAAGAGUGAUCCGUGGGAAUUUUCAUGUCAUGGGAAAAGGGAGAAAAAAAGAGAAUGGAGUUCUUCACCCAGCAACAAGAUUGGAACUCACAAUUUAGCCAGCGAGGGUUUACUGAGUGCCCCGUGCAAGGUUCCAUCCUUCAAACGGAGAACAUUCCAAAGCACAACCUCCAUGCUAAUGGAGCAUACAGUCCAUCCAAAGACAUUGACAAUGAGGAUGAUAGACAACCAUUAAUAUUGAUUUCCUAUUAAGCCAUGGACUGUCCCAUAUGCUGUACUAAAUUAAGCCUCACCAGGUACCACUAAUUGAUAGGUCCAUUUUACAGAUGAGUAGACUGAGGUGCAUUAAGAAAUAAAUAAUUAAAUAGUACUUCUCAUAGAUGAGUUUC